This 479-nucleotide unclassified non-coding RNA is filed under the name Hevea brasiliensis (rubber tree). Lineage: Eukaryota; Viridiplantae; Streptophyta; Magnoliopsida; Malpighiales; Euphorbiaceae. The record is from RNAcentral.
CAUAUAUAUCAAUUCAUUGCAAGCUGGUGCGACAAGCUCAGCAUUUCCUAACAAGUACUUCUAUGGUCUAUGGUGGGGAUUGCAGCAGCUGAGUUCAGUAGGGCAAAAUCUUAAUACAAGCACAUACGUUGGGGAAAUCAUCUUCACCAUCAUAAUCUCGACGCAAGGACUAGUACUUCUCGCAUUGCUUAUUGGGAAUAUGCAAAGAUACCUCCAAGCCACAACCAUGCGACUAGAAGAGUGGAGAGUCAGAAGAAAUGACACUGAACAAUGGAUGCAUCACAGGCAACUGCCUCCAGAAUUAAGGGAUUCCAUCAGAAAAUAUGACCAAUAUAAGUGGUUGGCUACCAGAGGGGUUGAUGAAGAAGCUAUCCUCCAAGGACUACCUAUGGAUCUUCGGAGAGAGAUCAAACGUCACCUAUGCUUUGAUCUAGUUCGAAAAGUUCCUCUGUUUGAUCAAAUGGAUGAAACUAUGCUAG